UACGGAGGGUGCGAGCGUUAAUCGGAAUCACUGGGCGUAAAGCGCGCGUAGGCGGCUUUUCAAGUCAGGGGUGAAAUCCCACGGCCCAACCGUGGAACUGCCUUUGAAACUGUAGAGCUUGAGUGUCGGAGAGGGUGGCGGAAUUCCAGGUGUAGGAGUGAAAUCCGUAGAUAUCUGGAGGAACACCGGUGGCGAGGGCGGCCACCUGGACGACAACUGACGCUGAGGUGCGAAAGCGUGGGUAGCAAACAGG
Molecule: ribosomal RNA, 253 nt
Filed under: uncultured bacterium
Lineage: Bacteria
Description: partial 16S ribosomal RNA
Rfam family: Bacterial small subunit ribosomal RNA
Source: RNAcentral